GACGAACGCUGGCGGCGUGCUUAACACAUGCAAGUCGAACGGAAAGGCCCUGCUUGCAGGGUCCUCGAGUGGCGAACGGGUGAGUAACACGUGGGUGAUCUGCCCUGCACUUCGGGAUAAGCCUGGGAAACUGGGUCUAAUACCGGAUAGGAGCCAUUCUUAGUGUGAUGGUUGGAAAGUUUUUUCGGUGUAGGAUGAGCUCGCGGCCUAUCAGCUUGUUGGUGGGGUAAUGGCCUACCAAGGCGGCGACGGGUAGCCGGCCUGAGAGGGUGGACGGCCACAUUGGGACUGAGGUGCGGCCCAGACGCCUAAGGGAGGCAGAAGGGGGGAAGAUUGAUCAAUGGGCGCAAGCCUGAUGCAGCGACGCCGCGUGGGGGAUAACGGCCUUCGGGUUGUAAACUCCUUUCGCGAGGGACGAAGCUUUUUGUGACGGUACCUAGAGAAGAAGCACCGGCUAACUACGUG
Molecule: ribosomal RNA, 465 nt
Filed under: uncultured bacterium
Lineage: Bacteria
Description: partial 16S ribosomal RNA
Rfam family: Bacterial small subunit ribosomal RNA
Source: RNAcentral